RNAcentral lists this long non-coding RNA (412 nucleotides) under Piliocolobus tephrosceles (Ugandan red Colobus). Its description in RNAcentral is "lncRNA (ENSPTEG00000013815.1)". The record is from RNAcentral. Lineage: Eukaryota; Metazoa; Chordata; Mammalia; Primates; Cercopithecidae.
AAUCUUUUGUAGAAAAAAAAUAUACGAUAUCAUUCAUUCAUUAAAUUAUAAAAGCAAAAACAUACAAGAAAAAAAAAAAGAAACACAAAAAAUAAUGGAAUUACCACGAGAAAUUAUAAAAUGGCUGCAAAAUUUAAAUUUGCCUUACUCUUUUACAAAUAUUAAAAUUGCCAGUAAUGGGAUAAUCAUUUCGGAAAUUAUAAACAUAUAUAUGCCUAAACGCAUUAAUAUGAACAGCUUAGAAAAUGGUUCUAGUAAAGAGAUAAAAAAAAAAAACUGGCAAAUCAUAAAAAAAACUCUAACCAGUUUUAAUAUACAAUUUGAUGAACUGUCAGUAAUUAAUUCAGACAAAGAAGCAUUAAAAAAUUUAUUCAUUGAUUUGUACGAAUAUUUAACAAAAAAAAAAAUGUAG